Pelodiscus sinensis (Chinese soft-shelled turtle) is the source of this 1591-nucleotide non-coding RNA. The record is from RefSeq and is a predicted model, not a curated record. NCBI's taxonomy places the organism in Eukaryota, Metazoa, Chordata, Testudines, Trionychidae.
GCGCUAUUUCCCGCCCCUCGCCUUGAGGGCCCGCCCCCAGCAUCCCCAUGGAAACUGAAGCGCGUGACCCGGCUCCGGCCAAUCGGAAACUAGAGAGAUGGGAGGGAAUGGCAGGCCGGCGGGCCCAUCCUCUCAGAGUUUUGCCCGCCUCGCGCCUAUAGGGACACGGCGAAGCGUAACUUACAGCGAGCACCUGGCAUCGACAGCUCCCAGGAUGCUUUGCAGUAGCCACCUCUGAGUUAGUGCUACAGCAGCUGUUUAAAAGUGCACAGCAAGAACACAAGUUGUGAGGCCUACAUAUAUUCUGAAUGCGAAGCUACUGCUGUGAAAAGUUGGCUUAGCAACUGAAUGACUCUGUUCCAAGAUGCCUGGCUAAUGAUCCCCCAACAGUUCAGGGGAGUGACUUCGUACCGCAAACAUAUGCUGAUUAAAUGGUUUAGCUUCAGCACUGAAAAUUAUUAUGACUGGCCUACAUGAGGAAUGAUUUUUAAGAUGCUUAUACCAUGGCAGCAUCACAUUUUUCAGAAGUUAGGCAUCAACCAUGAUAGCUAGGAUUGAGAAUGUUCACAAGAAAAUGAGGUGGAGUUAGUCCUUCUUCAUUGCCUGCAGUUUAACCUUCUAAUAAGGUAUUUCUGUUGCCACUGUCUCUUGAAGUGCCUUCCAGAUUUCGACAGCAUCAGCAACGCAGCACCGAUUUCUCUGAAGUUUAAGGCUAUGAACAUAGGUGUCGGUAUACUGAGCAAAUCCUCUGCAUUAACAUUGGAUUAAAGAGGAGAGAUUUUAGAUACAACAGAUGAAUUAUCAUGGUUUUCUUCACAAUAGUUUGAGACUAGGUUGACUUUUAAUAAAUUCAUAAGUCAACCACAGAAUUUCAUUGAACACUUUGAGGGUGGAUCCUCCUGCUCUCUUCAGCAAAGCUGAAGCAAAAUGGUUGUUAUGGAGGUAUUUUGUGACUUCAGCGUUUUCUUUUAUUCCUGGAGAAGAUGUACGUAAGUCUUUGGCUAAAAGAUGCCGUGAUGGGCACUGCAGCCAUAUGUUAAGAAGCAUCCUUCUGUUUCUUCUUCUAAGUAUCUCUCCAUCUUUGCCAUGUUUACAGCAUUGUCUGUGAUAAAAUUGUGCACAUGACAGUUGAAUUAUUGUUCGCAGUUUAUUACAGCUUUCACUGAUGCUUCUCUUAAAUAUUUUGUUGCGUGGGCUUUUCCUGAUCUAUUUCUGAAAGAUCUGCAAUCCCAUCUUCUGUUGUCAUGCAGGCACGUUUGACUAAGGAUGUUAAAAGGCGUUUGUCUCUGUCUGAGGGAUUGGAGCAAAUGUGGUUGUAUCUUAGGGCUUGGCUAUAGACGAUGGAUCAUGUGACAUGUUUUGGAUGAAAGGCUUGUUACAAAUAACUAGUAAAUGACUAAGUGUAAAAGCAGGAAUUAUUUGUUGACUUAAGGCAGUGGUCUGCAACCUUUUUACAGCCAAGAUCGGUUUUUAAGUGUCAGGGCAGCCAAGAUCUACCCCAUCCCUUCCUUGAGGCCCUGCCCUCUCCAUUCCCUCCUCUCCAUCAUUUGCUGUCCCCAGCCCUUUCUCACUCUCCCUGGGUGCGGGCUCU